Long non-coding RNA from Arachis stenosperma, 255 nucleotides. RefSeq lists it as uncharacterized. The transcript has 3 exons. Lineage: Eukaryota; Viridiplantae; Streptophyta; Magnoliopsida; Fabales; Fabaceae. The record is from RefSeq and is a predicted model, not a curated record.
CCGGCCGCUGCUGGAUUGCAGGUUACCUUAGAUGAGAAACCCAAAAUUCUUGAUGUCAUUGAUUGUUCUGGCAGUGGAGAUGUUGAUACCUCAAAGGUGGUGAAGGCUGAUGCUGAUGGUUGUAUUUGCGGUGCAUCAGGGGCAUCUUUGAUCAUCAAUACUUCAUAGAAAAAUCCUUCUGGUGAAUGGCAUAUUGGUUACAAAUUUAUUUAUGAGAUUUUUACAGAAGAAUUAACUUCUCGUUUGAAGGUAGAA